RNAcentral lists this ribosomal RNA (254 nucleotides) under uncultured bacterium. Its description in RNAcentral is "partial 16S ribosomal RNA". It matches the Rfam family "Bacterial small subunit ribosomal RNA", at positions 524 to 776 of the family's 1533-position model. The record is from RNAcentral.
UACGUAGGGGGCGAGCGUUGUCCGGAAUCAUUGGGCGUAAAGAGCUCGUAGGCGGUUCAGUAAGUCGGCUGUGAAAUUCCGAGGCUCAACCUCGGAACUGCAGUCGAUACUAUUGUGACUAGAGUCCGGUAGAGGAGAAUGGAAUUCCCGGUGUAGCGGUGAAAUGUGCAGAUAUCGGGAGGAACACCAGUAGCGAAGGCGGUUCUCUGGGCCGGUACUGACGCUGAGGAGCGAAAGCGUGGGGAGCAAACAGG